RNAcentral lists this ribosomal RNA (1414 nucleotides) under Myxobolus sp. JLSN-2017. RNAcentral's name for it is "SSU rRNA". It matches the Rfam family "Eukaryotic small subunit ribosomal RNA", at positions 77 to 1318 of the family's 1831-position model. Lineage: Eukaryota; Metazoa; Cnidaria; Myxozoa; Bivalvulida; Myxobolidae. The record is from RNAcentral.
AACUGUGAGACUGCGGACGGCUCAGUAAAUCAGUUAUAAUCUAUUUGAUUGUACAGCCCAAUGGAUAACCGUGGGAAAUCACCUGCUAUGACAUGCGGUAAAAUUGGGCGGUUGGCAACACCCGUCCAAAGCAUUUAUUGGAACAAAACCAACGGCUGCUGUGUUGAGCUAAAACCCUACAGUGUGCGAGGUGAAUCUAGAUAACUGAGCUGAUCGCAUGGCCUUGUGCCGGCGACGUUUCAAUUGAAUUUCUGCCCUAUCAACUUGUUGGUAAGGUAGUGGCUUACCAAGGUUGCAACGGGUAACGGGGAAUCAGGGUUCGAUUCCGGAGAGGGAGCCUGAGAAACGGCUACCACAUCCACGGGUGGCAGCAGGCGCGCAAAUUACCCAAUCCAUAUAAUGGGAGGUGGUGACGAGGAAUACCAGAUGGCGUCCAUUUGGAUCGCCAUACUGGAAUGGAUCAAAUCUAGGAAAUUCGAUGAGUAACAACUGGAGGGCAAGUCUGGUGCCAGCAGCCGCGGUAAUUCCAGCUCCAGUAGUGUAUUUUAAAGUUGCUGCGUUUAAAACGCUCGUAGUUGGAUUACGCAGCAUGUGGCGGUCGAUUGGCGUGUUGGUACGAUAAAACCGCCCGAUGGUUGGACGACUUCGGUUGAUCCAGGUUCGGACUCCCGUUGGGUGGUGUGCCGCGCGUCGAUUAACAGCCGCCACAUGCUACUUGUACGUGAGGAUGGUGGUUGACCUUUAGUGCGUUGACUAUUCGUGUCUCACGAGGUGUGCCUUGAACAAAUCAGAGUGCUCAAAGCAGGCGAUAGCUUGAAUGUUAAUAGCAUGGAACGAACAGUCGUGUAUUAUGGUACCUCGUGUUGCACGGCAUGUGGACUUAUGUCUGCGUGUUUGUGUGGCUGAGUGUACAGCACCAACCGCCAGCGACGGAUGUUGGUUUCCGUGUUGGGGUGAUGAUUAAGAGGAGCGGUUGGGGGCAUUGGUAUUUGGCCGCGAGAGGUGAAAUUCUUGGACCGGCCAAGGACUAACAAAUGCGAAGGCAUCUGCCAAGACCGUUUCCAUUAAUCAAGAACGAAAGUGAGAGGUUCGAAGACGAUCAGAUACCGUCCUAGUUCUCACUGUAAACUAUGCCGACCCGGGAUCAGUUUUGAGCUCAUAAUACGCUCGUGGUUGGUCCCCCUGGGAAACCUCAAGUCUUUCAGUUACUGGGGGAGUAUGGGUCGCAAGGCUGAAACUUAAAGGAAUUGACGGAAGCGCACCACCAGGGGUGGAGCCUGCGGCCUAAUUUGACUCAACAACGGGAAAACUCACCAGGUCCGGACAUCGAUAGGAUAGACAGACUGAUAGAUCUUUCUUGAUACGUUGGUUGGUGGUGCAUGGCCGUUCUUAGUUCGUGGAGUGAUCUGUCAGG